RNAcentral lists this non-coding RNA (85 nucleotides) under Hungatella hathewayi DSM 13479. The record is from RNAcentral. Lineage: Bacteria; Bacillati; Bacillota; Clostridia; Lachnospirales; Lachnospiraceae.
GAAAGCCGAGUGAUGGGAAACUGUCAUGCUCGGUUUGGUGCGGGGGAAAAGCCGGAGAUAAAAUCAAAGGCUUACCUAUCGCAAU